RNAcentral lists this ribosomal RNA (909 nucleotides) under Kabatina mahoniae. RNAcentral's name for it is "LSU rRNA". It matches the Rfam family "Eukaryotic large subunit ribosomal RNA", at positions 38 to 963 of the family's 3401-position model. Lineage: Eukaryota; Fungi; Ascomycota; Dothideomycetes; Dothideales; Dothioraceae. The record is from RNAcentral.
GCAUAUCAAUAAGCGGAGGAAAAGAAACCAACAGGGAUUGCCCUAGUAACGGCGAGUGAAGCGGCAAUAGCUCAAAUUUGAAAGCUGGCCUCUGGUCCGCAUUGUAAUUUGUAGAGGAUGCUUUUAGGCAGCCGCCGGUCUAAGUUCCUUGGAACAGGACGUCAUAGAGGGUGAGAAUCCCGUAUGUGACCGGCUCAGGCACCUUAUGUAAAGCUCCUUCGACGAGUCGAGUUGUUUGGGAAUGCAGCUCUAAAUGGGAGGUAAAUUUCUUCUAAAGCUAAAUACUGGCGAGAGACCGAUAGCGCACAAGUAGAGUGAUCGAAAGAUGAAAAGCACUUUGGAAAGAGAGUUAAAAAGCACGUGAAAUUGUUGAAAGGGAAGCGCUUGCAAUCAGACUUGGCCUCGGAUGUUCAACCGGUCUUCUGACCGGCCUAUUCAUUCGGGGCCAGGCCAGCAUCAGUUUCGGCGGCCGGAUAAAGGCCUUGGGAAUGUGGCUUUCCCUUCGGGGGAAGUGUUAUAGCCCAGGGUGUAAUACGGCCAGCUGGGACUGAGGUCCGCGCUUCGGCUAGGAUGCUGGCGUAAUGGUUGUAAGCGGCCCGUCUUGAAACACGGACCAAGGAGUCUAACAUCUAUGCGAGUGUUAGGGUGUCAAACCCUUACGCGUAAUGAAAGUGAACGGAGGUGGGAACCCGCAAGGGUGCACCAUCGACCGAUCCUGAUGUCUUCGGAUGGAUUUGAGUAAGAGCAUAGCUGUUGGGACCCGAAAGAUGGUGAACUAUGCCUGAAUAGGGUGAAGCCAGAGGAAACUCUGGUGGAGGCUCGCAGCGGUUCUGACGUGCAAAUCGAUCGUCAAAUUUGGGUAUAGGGGGCGAAAGACUAAUCGAACCAUCUAGUAGCUGGUUCCUGCGA